UGUCCUUUAAAGUUGCAAGAUACUCUUUGCAAUUUCUCUUCCAAUGUCCUAUUUUCUUACAAUGGAAACAUACAACAUCAGAUUGGUCAGCUUUGCCUUUUUUGCCUUUGGGUUUGGUCACACCACCCUUGGGCGCAGUGAGCUUUUUCUUGGGUUUACUUUUACCUUUACCCUUCUUCUUAGAAGAGUUUCCAACCAACAUGAUAGUUCCAUUCUUCUUCUCAGAUGCUAUUUGAUUCUCAUAAUCAAUCAACAUGUUAAGCAUCUCGUGAAGAUCACAAUCCAUUUUGUUCAUAUUAAAAUUAAUAACAAAUUGUGAAAAGGAUUCUGGUAGUGACUGCAAGAUAAAAACUUGAGAAAGCU
Molecule: long non-coding RNA, 363 nt
Filed under: Nicotiana benthamiana
Lineage: Eukaryota; Viridiplantae; Streptophyta; Magnoliopsida; Solanales; Solanaceae
Description: long non-coding RNA (NBEN_LNC023863)
Source: RNAcentral